RNAcentral lists this ribosomal RNA (492 nucleotides) under uncultured bacterium. RNAcentral describes it as "partial 16S ribosomal RNA". It matches the Rfam family "Bacterial small subunit ribosomal RNA", at positions 29 to 507 of the family's 1533-position model. The record is from RNAcentral.
AGUGAACGCUGGCGGUAGGCCUAACACAUGCAAGUCGAACGGCAGCACAGUAAGAGCUUGCUCUUACGGGUGGCGAGUGGCGGACGGGUGAGGAAUACAUCGGAAUCUACUUUUUCGUGGGGGAUAACGUAGGGAAACUUACGCUAAUACCGCAUACGACCUACGGGUGAAAGCAGGGGAUCUUCGGACCUUGCGCGAUUGAAUGAGCCGAUGUCGGAUUAGCUAGUUGGCGGGGUAAAGGCCCACCAAGGCGACGAUCCGUAGCUGGUCUGAGAGGAUGAUCAGCCACACUGGAACUGGGACACGGUCCAGACUCCUACGGGAGGCAGCAGUGGGGAAUGUUGGACAAUGGGCGCAAGCCUGAUCCAGCCAUCCCGCGUGGGUGAAGAAGGCCUUCGGGUUGUAAAGCCCUUUUGUUGGGAAAGAAAAGCAGCAGGUUAAUACCCCGCUGUUCUGACGGUACCCGAAGAAUAAGCACCGGCUAACUUCGUG